UAAUAAGUGUUUUAUGGCACUUUUUAAAUCCAUAUCCACCUUGUGUGCAAUGUCGGUCGAUCUUCUUCUUGAGGAUCGACCAAACAUCAACCUUUAUCUUUUAACUCUUUGUCUGAAAAAUAUUAUGAAUAAACAAUUCAAAAUA
Molecule: unclassified non-coding RNA, 145 nt
Filed under: soil metagenome
Description: partial internal transcribed spacer 1
Source: RNAcentral